Molecule: long non-coding RNA, 1152 nt
Organism: Salvia miltiorrhiza (redroot sage)
Lineage: Eukaryota; Viridiplantae; Streptophyta; Magnoliopsida; Lamiales; Lamiaceae
Exons: 2
Source: RefSeq, a predicted model, not a curated record
CCACGACGCUGUCUGUGGACGGGGGUUUGAGUCCAAGUGGCAGCGGCAGCCAUGGCUUGGAUAGAACGUCCCCAAUGACUGCAUCUAUGCUCUCUGGAGACUGCCACGACAUUUUAAGACCGUGAAGUCAGAAACAUAAGCACUUACUUGAUGUGGGAAAGCUAUCGAGGAAACUAACAGCAUUUAGAAAAAGAGCCAAUGAACUGAUUCAGUCUACGCCUAUUUGGCAGCUACCAUGCUCUAUGACUAUAUUAAAAUUACUUUUGUACGAAUGUGACCGAAGUAAAGGGCUGAGAAAAAAAUCUCACCAGGUGAGAGUCCAUUAGUGGUUGAACCGGUUUUUGUCCAGUCAGGCCGACAGGGACACCAAUGCUUGGUGCCACUCUGUAUAUAGAAGAAGGUGGUAGUCCUGGGACUGGGGGAGUGACAAAUGUCUGCAUCAUUGUUUGGUCAAAUGGAAACAUAUCAUCAUUUAUGUGAAUCAACACUUUUGAAUCAGACAUGAAUGAGAAAACCACAGGGAUGCAACUGAAAAUCAAACAAAUGAGUAUGUUUUUGUAGUUACCGGUUGAGGAAAAUGUGAGGGAUAGCAAGGCAUUCCUUGUGCAGGAACCUACAUAUGGAGAAUGGAGCCAUUAGAAGAAGAAGAGUAAUCAUGCGACAGAACAAUAUAUAAGUGAUGAACUUACAUCUUGGUGGUGACAAUUCCAGAAAGAAGGGUCCCCAGUUAGAGGUGGUGCCGGAGAAUGUCCGGCACCCCAAGCAGGAGGAGAGGGUGAUGAGGCUGGAUAACCAGGCCACAUAUAAACUAACGAUUGGUUUGGUGAUGGAUGACCCCAAACAUGGAAGGGUCUAGAACGAGACACUGAUGUCACUGGAGGGAAUCCCGUGGCGGGUACAGCCCAAGAAUUUGCAUCACUCUUGCCUGUGCUCCCUGUGGUUCUGUAUAGCUGCCGCUUCCGGCUCCAUGUUGCUACCUCUGCUUCUCGAGCUAGCAAAUGUUUCCUAUGAGAUCGAUAUUUCUGCAUAUUAAGAGAAACUCAUUUGACUAAAAACUAUUGACUAUUAGCCUGAAAAAAGGUGACAAGAAUAGGAAAUUAGCGAACCUAGCUAGCAAGCUUGCCUAGGAAAAGGGAAAUUUGUAAACUAAAA